GUCCACGCCGUAAACGAUGAGUACUAGGUGUUGCGGGUAUUGACCCCUGCAGUGCCGCAGCUAACGCAUUAAGUACUCCGCCUGGGAAGUACGGUCGCAAGACUAAAACUCAAAGGAAUUGACGGGGGCCCCGCACAAGCGGUGGAGCAUGUGGUUUAAUUCGACGCAACGCGCAGAACCUUACCUGGGCUUGACAUCUACGGAACCCUCCCGAAACGGAGGGGUGCCUUUCGGGGAGCCGUAAGACAGGUGCUGCAUGGCUGUCGU
This 267-nucleotide ribosomal RNA is filed under the name uncultured bacterium. RNAcentral's name for it is "partial 16S ribosomal RNA". It matches the Rfam family "Bacterial small subunit ribosomal RNA", at positions 793 to 1055 of the family's 1533-position model. The record is from RNAcentral.